AUCCCACGCAGGCAGCAGGCGCGCAAAUUACCCAAUCCCGAUACGGGGAGGUAGUGACAAUAAAUACUGAUACAGGGCUCUUUUGGGUCUUGUAAUUGGAAUGAGUACAAUUUAAAUCCCUUAACGAGGAACAAUUGGAGGGCAAGUCUGGUGCCAGCAGCCGCGGUAAUUCCAGCUCCAAUAGCGUAUAUUAAAGUUGUUGCAGUUAAAAAGCUCGUAGUUGAAUUUUGGGUUUGGCUGCUCGGUCCGCCUAACCGCGUGCACUGAUGCGGCCGGAUCUUUCUUUCUGGCUAACCUCAUGCCCUUCACUGGGUGUGCUGGGGAUCCAGGACAUUUACUUUGAAAAAAUUAGAGUGUUCAAAGCAGGCCUUUGCUCGAAUACAUUAGCAUGGAAUAAUAAAAUAAGACGGGGGUGUCUAUUUUGUUGGUUUCUAGAGCCACCGUAAUGAUUAAUAGGGAUAGUCGGGGGCAUCAGUAUUCAAUUGUCAGAGGUGAAAUUCUUGGAUUUAUUGAAGACUAACUACUGCGAAAAAUUUGUUGCCAAAAAAA
RNAcentral lists this ribosomal RNA (549 nucleotides) under Arthrobotrys flagrans. Its description in RNAcentral is "SSU rRNA". It matches the Rfam family "Eukaryotic small subunit ribosomal RNA", at positions 414 to 966 of the family's 1831-position model. Lineage: Eukaryota; Fungi; Ascomycota; Orbiliomycetes; Orbiliales; Orbiliaceae. The record is from RNAcentral.